GCCACUUAGACUUUUCUUCACACUCUUGCUGCUCAGUUGUGGAAGAAAGCAACCCAUGUGCAUUAAUACAUGGCCUGUCAAAUACAUCAAGGUGAAUUCGGCUGUUCAUUGAGGCUCUAUGAUAUACAACUUCUUUAUGAGAAAUGGUUGGCGUGUGGCAUCAUAUCAAGCUAUAGUCAGCCUCUUCAAGUACUCAUGUAAUCAAUCUAAAGACAAUUCUAAUCUAGCUAGUAUGUUCUAUAUUUGAAAACUAGUUUAAUUAUACUAUGAUUUUGUAAUAUUUAUUUAAUUGAUAUAAUAAACUAUAUGAAUGUUUUUGUUUA
Rosa chinensis is the source of this 323-nucleotide long non-coding RNA. RefSeq lists it as uncharacterized. The record is from RefSeq and is a predicted model, not a curated record. Lineage: Eukaryota; Viridiplantae; Streptophyta; Magnoliopsida; Rosales; Rosaceae. The transcript has 3 exons.